CGAAAGCCUGACGGAGCAACGCCGCGUGAGGGAGGAAGGCCUGUGGGUUGUAAACCUCUUUUCUCAAGGAAGAAGUUCUGACGGUACUUGAGGAAUCAGCAUCGGCUAACUCCGUGCCAGCAGCCGCGGUAAGACGGAGGAUGCAAGCGUUAUCCGGAAUUAUUGGGCGUAAAGCGUCCGUAGGCGGUUAUAAAAGUCUGUUGUUAAAGCUCACAGCUCAACUGUGAAUGGGCGAUGGAAACUGUAUGACUAGAGAGUGGUAGGGGUAGAGGGAAUUCCUAGUGUAGCGGUGAAAUGCGUAGAUAUUAGGAAGAACACCAGUGGCGAAGGCGCUCUACUGGGCCAUUACUGACGCUGAUGGACGAAAGCU
This 370-nucleotide ribosomal RNA is filed under the name uncultured cyanobacterium. RNAcentral describes it as "bacterial SSU rRNA". It matches the Rfam family "Bacterial small subunit ribosomal RNA", at positions 376 to 761 of the family's 1533-position model. The record is from RNAcentral. Lineage: Bacteria; Bacillati; Cyanobacteriota.